Molecule: long non-coding RNA, 895 nt
Filed under: Ananas comosus (pineapple)
Lineage: Eukaryota; Viridiplantae; Streptophyta; Magnoliopsida; Poales; Bromeliaceae
Description: long non-coding RNA (ACOM_LNC031077)
Source: RNAcentral
AAUAGUAUAUUAGGUAAAUUAUAUAUAUAUAUAUAGAAUUAGGCUGGAAUACUAUUAAUAGUAAAACACUCUUUUUGCUAUCAAGUUUUUAACCCUUGGAUGAAAAAUUGUAGGGUCGGGAUGAUAUUAGUCGGUUAGAGUUGAGUGGUCCCCCUAGGGUUGAGUGGUCCCCACUGGGUUAUAGUAUUUACUCCAAUGGUUAGAAAUAAUAAAAAGAGUUUAUCCAAAGGCUAAAAAACUGGUAGCAAUAAUGAGAUUUUGUUACUAAUAGUAGCCCAGUCCAACUCUCUCUCUAUAUAUAUAUAUAUAUAUAUAUAUAUAUGAGUCCGGCUACUAUACUCUUAUGAGUACGAUUGUCUUUGUACUCAUAAGUUAUUUUCGAUAAUAGAGUUUUCGAAUUGAUGAUCCACACCGUUAAAUAUUUUCUAGAAUAUUUAAAAUUUUUAAAAAUUAAAUUUUAUAAUUUUUCGACAUCAUUUACUUACGAUCAAAAGCUCACAAAAUUGAUAAUUUUUAACGGCCGGUAUAGAAUACUUGCUAGUUUAACGGUGGAAAAGAAUCGGAAUAGAUUGAAUUUUUGAUAGAAAAUUUUAUUCACUACCUAUAUAAAGAUCAAUAACUCCAAUCUUAAAUUAAAGGAUCCGAUCAUCCAUUUUUAGGACGUCGUUUGAUUUUGACCGUUUAUUUUAUGCCUGCUUGAUGAAUUUUAUUAUGAUUUCAAAAAACUACGAAAUUUAUUCUCGAGAAGUUUUAAAUACUCUAGAUCAUAUUUAACGAAGUGGAUCGUCGAUUCGAAAGCUCCAUCAUCGAAAACAACUUAUGAGUACGAAGGGCCCAAUACUCAUAAGAGUAUAGUAGCCCUACUAAUAUGUAUAUAUAUAUAUUUGAAAUUUUU